AAAGCAUCAGUUUAAUAUUUGGCUUGUUAUUCUCUUUUGUACACUGAAAAAAGGCAAUAGGGAGGUUGUUGGAUUUUUAAAUAUGCAUUUCACAUUUCUUACAUGAUUAAUUUAUGCUUUUUAUCUAAACAUAUUUUAAUCAUGUACCAUGUGUUUAUUCUGUAAGGAUGUUCAAUCAUAUAGAAUUAAUCAUGUUGAAGCUAAAUUAAGUAGUUAUGCUUUCUUUAUAAACCCCGCCCCUUUGGGAAGAAAACCUUCGCGUCCAUCGCCAUUUUGUCUCUCGCUGUGGAUGGGAUCUGAGCUCUGCAAUGAGGUGGACUGAAGAAGAAUGGUUCACGGGAGCUAGAGACAGGGCAGAAGAGAGCAAUCAGGUCACAGCAGUCUUCAGGACUGUGAUCAACUUUACCGGGUGUCCAGGUGCUGUACCUGGUAUUGUUUCAGUCACAGUAGCCGACAGGCUUGGAGGAGUGGAGUAAGAAAAAUUAGUGAUAGUGAAGAAAAUGCAGCCGCCACAACCAGCUACAAGACACAGACAUUGUUGACAAGAAUGGACAAUCAACUUCAGUUUGGAGAUAUUAUGGCAAUUUGCAAUCCAACACAACACAGAUGUACACUGUAAACUGUGCAGAUGACUUGUGCCAUUAAAGACAGACAACACCACAAACCUGUUUCAUCAUUUAAACCAAUGUCACUCUUUAGAACGUAAAGAAGCUAAUGAUGAAACAGUCCCAAAUUAGUGUUAGUGGAUGUGGAGCAUCUACAAGCUUCCUGGGGGCUAAGUGAAAACAGGCAAGUAUGUAUCACAACUGAUAGUUUUACAAACUAGUGAUUGACUGAUAUUGAUUUUUUUUUUUUUUUUAUAACCAAUACAGAUUAUUUGCAUGUUUAUGUGCUGAUAACCGAUAUGCAAAACCAAUAGUUAUUUACUGUUAUAAAGUAAACAAAUGACUGAUGGAAGUCCAUACUUCACUUUGAUUGUUCCUCCUUUCAGUCAUCUUAAAAGUGUUGAAAAUUAGCAGUCUUUAAUGUAGAAUGUCUGUUUUUUUCAAAUGGAGAAAAUAAAGGACAGGAGUCUUAAAAAUGUGAUGUGUUGGGAUUUUGAA
Long non-coding RNA from Labeo rohita (rohu), 1103 nucleotides. RefSeq lists it as uncharacterized. Lineage: Eukaryota; Metazoa; Chordata; Actinopteri; Cypriniformes; Cyprinidae. The transcript has 3 exons. The record is from RefSeq and is a predicted model, not a curated record.